RNAcentral lists this small nuclear RNA (107 nucleotides) under Microcebus murinus (gray mouse lemur). The record is from RNAcentral. Lineage: Eukaryota; Metazoa; Chordata; Mammalia; Primates; Cheirogaleidae.
CUGCUUGCUUCAGUAGCACAUGUACUAAAACUGAAACGAUACAGAGAAAAUUAGCAUGGCCUCGGAGCAAGGAUGAUUUGCAAAUUCCUAAAUUGUUCUAUACUUUU